UACCGGUGUUGUCACGUUGGAACUAACUUUGCACAAUUCCAGUGAGCCAGAGUUACGUGGUUCGGUUUAAUCGUAGAACAGUAACUUCGGUUCGAGUCGUUUGACUUCGAGAUUAGUCGAAAACUCAACAGCUCCGUUCACGAGAACAGACUAUUUGUCUUUGCACGCGGUGGCCCGAACCAAACAAAUUACACGAAGCUCUUCAUUUGUGAGUCCACUCUCCCCGCGUGGCUAAAUAAUGCGAAAGCAGACACGUUACGUCCGACGAUAUACGUCCAACUUUCUCACGAUAGGAACAUCGCAAGCUACGAUAGUAAUCCAACGUUCUUUCAAAAUUUUCCCAACGACAUUCCGAUAUUUUAUCUUAUUGAAGAGAAAUUCCAAAAACCCAGACUCAUCUUUCGGCAGCAUAACGCGAAGGCAAUCGACUGAAUCCCGAGAUUGCGAGAUUCGUUUGGCUGAGAGAAAGACAAAGAAGAAGGGAGAGAAAGAGAACAAGAAAUAGGUAGAGAGGAUUGGUAGGUCGGUAAACAAUUCAUCUUUAAAAUUCAUCCAGAUUCUCUUUUAUAUUCCACCGGUACGACUCCGUUUCCGGGCCGCAUGAACCAGAGAUCCAUCAAAAAGGUUCCGGUGUGCUUGUAGCAGCAUUCUCCACGGAUAAGGGUGGAAACGGAUACGCGGGAUGAUGGCCGAGCCGGGGUCGUGGCAAAACGGGAAAACAAAAUCGGGCAGAAGAUGAAUCCGUAGAUAUGCCGUAGCGUCAUAAUUCCUUCCUUAUUGUUUGUCCUCCAUUUUUUAUUUGUGGAAAACGAGAGACUGCCGGCCAGCCUUCGAGCAAGGUCGAAAAAAGCUAAGCUGUCCGUGAGCUGACAGAGUGGAAAACAGAAAAAACGUGGCAGGGAACUGGAUGAAAGGGGAACGCGAUUGGAAAAGAAAAAUGAAAGAAUCGCGCCUCUGAAAAAAGAUACUGGAUAUGGAUUUCGAAGCUGGACAGCGGCCACUGGGAAUGGCGUUUAAUGGCAUCCGGGGAAAAGACGAGGGUAUCAUAAAUGUUAUUUUAAUAAAGAGGACAGAAUAGAGCGCAGAAGAAACACUUAUCGUUUGAAAUCCUGCAGUCGAAGAGAACUAGUAUGUCUAUGAUGGUGGAAGAAUAAAUAAAGAAGCAAUGGGGAUUAAAGAAGCUAAAAGCAAUAAGUGACGUGGCAUGUUCGUUUUCUACUUAAUACAGUGAAAAGGGCUGUUUCUGGGCAGAACAAACGGCCAACGAUCGUUCGCCUAUUAGCUUUCUCCAACAAGCGUGUUUACACGCACUAGUUUCCACGAUGAAAAUGUUUGUCGUAUAAAUUAGCGAUCCGUAACGGCCUGUACGAGCGUACGUGUCACUUUGCGACAGAAUUCUACCCUAUUCGCAUGGGGGAACGCGUAGGUCGAUAUUUGUUCUGUGAAAAAGUCCGUAGAGAUGUUCGUAUUCGUGGCAGAUCUCAAAGAAAAAUCGCCAAGUUUCAACAGGAGAAACCAUUUGAAAGCGUGUCUCCAUGGUUACUAGCGAUGGUGCUAGCGAUAAUCGUGAGAAUCUUUUUAAAAAAAGCACCAAAACCUUGAAGAAAGACGAAAGCCUGGUGAUCCGACGCUACUUACGCGAGAUAAAUUCCUGACUUUUUGUAGGAAGAUAAAAGCAAACCCCCCGCUCAAUGAAGAAAGGUGAAGGGUAAAACAUUUGUGCCUGACCUAUGACGACGGGAAUUUCUUUGCCUACUAUCGUAGAAAGAAUCAGUUAACAGGCACGAUCGACGUUAUUAGACCUGAAAAUUUCAAAAGAAUUCUCGAACGUGGACGUUUCAAAGAGUAAUAUUUUUAAUAUUUCCUUUGUGACGUAAAAAAAUAUUCACUUCGCUAGUAACCUUUUCUUUAUUCCGUUUUAUCUACAUCGAAUUAUACUCGUUUGAAGCUUAAUGUGGCUCACGAUUACGCUACCUAGGUCGGCGUCGAUUGACCAGUCUCGGCACUUCUGAAAUAAUUAAUAACGAACAACGAAAGGCUUAAAGUAUCUGUGCGUGUGGCCCCGUGUCACUUUGUGGCGCAAGUCUCGUGGAAAAAGUCAGCAAAGCGGGCGGAUAAGUGUUUUUUAAAAGGCAUCGCUGUCGAGAUCGUGCACACGGUGAAACGAGAAAGACAAUUAAGUGCCAGUUUCUAAAUUCUCGUAUGGACAACGUAAAACAACGAUGAAUUUAACACCGCGUAAUUCUUCGUCAUUUACGAGGCCGCACAAUUUCGAGCGAACUCUUAGAACGAAAAGUUAUCUGUGCCAGAAAUACGACAGUGUAUAGUCGAGAAAGAAUACUCUCCUGUUUCGCAUACAUUUCGCGUGUUCGUUGAAAGAACGAAAGAGAAAGAGAAAAAAUAUGUGCGAGGGAAAGUAUGUAAUGCGAAUACACGAGGCUCGCGCGUAACUCGCGCGUAACUCGCGUGUAACGUUGAACAAAAGCUAUGAAAUUACCUUUAAAGGACAGUCCGGAAGAAUACGCGGAGCUGUUUAAAAUGUAAAAAAAGGAACGUAGGAAAGUAGUAUACCCUUUUGAUCGUGGCUAUUGUUUGCGACCUGUAAAACGUACUCAUCAAGAAUUAAAUUUAGCCCGCAUUUAAGCGAGAAACCAAAUACAAACGAGCUCCUGCUCUUCAUACUCAUAGCGUUUAUUCGUAUAACGUAAAUCUAUACUUUGCCGAGCAGCUAAAUUACCGAAAGGAUUCUUUCAGUUGAAAAUCAAAACGGCGAUCUCUAAAUAACUUUCCAACGUGCCAGGAUAAAAUUGUUCGCGUAAUUCCAAUGUAUUUCGACGGAAAAAUGAUUCCUCCUCCGUGUGGAAACGCUACCCGUGUCGUCGGAACGAAAAAUCCAAGCCGCGAUAUCAAAGUUGCCGUACGAAAAAUAAACGAAAUCUCACUAUGUUACGCAAUCUUGAAACAUAAGCGGGCUAUGUUCGCAGAUAAAAACUGGCUGGCUGGAUAAUCCGAGAUAAAAGCCCGCCGUGGUUUCGAGCGUCCAAAAAAAACUUGAAUUUCGGUCAUCCUCUCUUUCCUUCGAGUUGGUGAGAUCAGAUGGUGAAGUUUGGGUUAAAUAACUGGUGGAGAUCCGGCACGAAUCGUGUGCCAGCAUGAGUUUCAAACGGCUGUCGGGCAAGCAAAACGGGCGAGGAGCUUUAAAGCUCGAGUUCGUGCUACGGCACGUACCUACAGAUGAUCGUCGUUUUCCCCGUGAUGCUCUCCGGUGUUUCCUUCGAACCAGGAACUCCUUCGAUCCGAUGCAACCGUUAGCUUUGUAAAAACGAACCGUGAAUCUUUCGUGUCUCUCUGACUUUCUAUAAAUGAAGUUUACCAGUACAAUUUUUUACGUUUGGGAUUAAUCGUAAGAGAGAAGUAUUACAUAUAGCAACGUCCGAUUUGUGCAUUGUCGAUUGCUACUACUGUAAGCUGAUCGAAAUUAACUGCAAAUUAAAUUUUAAUACUAGAAUUUUCUGCAUGUAUAUUUUAUGCAGCAUCAUGCAGGUUAAUACUACUGCAAUGCACUCGAAAUUAUAAAUUAAAUUUUAGCUGUAGAAUAUUUGAAGUUCAGAAUUCUAAUGGAGGGAUAUAUUAUGCUGUAUAUAAAAUAGAUAUAUCGUCUGACCUGUACAGGUUGUUACUACAGUAACGUAUUCGAAGCUAUAAAUUAAAUUUUCCUACUCAAAUUUUUAAUGACCAGAAUUAAUGUAACGUAGUAAUAUUUCGUAGCGUCUGACCUGUACCGGUUCCUACCACUUGAACUCGAAGCGUAUCAUAUGCGUCGUACGAAGAAAUUCGUGCAAUCGUUAGCCAUCGAUAUUGGAAAAGCAAUUCCAGAAAUAAGAUUGCGUAAAAAAAGUAUUGCAGCGACAUUACAUAAAAAUAUUGUGCGACGUUAGAAAGAGAUAUUGGUUUCCAGGUAACAAACAAUUAGAAACGCGGCAGUAGAAAUGGUCCGUCAUGAAUCAGACUACGAGUCUAUCGUGAAACAAAUAAGUGACGCGGAAGAUUAGCUUCAUAUAUUGAGAAACAGGAGACAGAUAAACUUCGUACGUUAACAAGUAACGAUGUUACAGGUACAAAUUGUAAAAAUUUACCCUCGUUCAUUCAAGAAAUGAAGAUAACGUUUCGCAAUUUUAUUUUCGCUUUAAUUCUGUUAUGCUAUAUAUUUCUAAAGUUUCCUAGCCAACAUAGGCUGCUAAUAUUCUGUUAAAACUAUACAUCUGUAUCUGUAGUACCGUUCCAUUUUCGAUCUUUUUUCGUGUCUCGCGUGUACGAGAUUUUCAACGCAAUGCACGUUUACAAGGCACGCUUUUCUACCCGCCUUUUUUACAUUUUCUAACGCUUCGGUUCUAGACGCGAGAACGUAUUUGGUAUUCCCGAUGCGAUCAAAAGUACGCUCCACGUAACUCUGCAUAAUCUUAUGCAGUCUGCUCGAUUGAAAUUAAAUCGACAAGAAAAUAAUUCAAAGCGAUUUUGUGACGCUACGAAAGAGGAUUCCUUCGAUGUUACACGCCGUGAAGAGCCGGUGAAAUUGGAAUGAAAUUUCGUCGAACGAGUUCUCGUCCGAAAUGGAUGAAACGAGCGUGAUGGAAUUCCAGGAGGAGCCAGAGCUAUCAAGAAAUUCUCACACCAUACAAGAUUUUUCCGCGCAAUACGAUAGAACAAAAAUGUCUUGCUAUUUCUUCGAACAUCCAGUUAGAACUCUUCUAUAUGCAUAGAUUUGCAAAAGGAAGUUUCUCGAAAGAGCAGAUUUUUUUAAUAAUCAUGAUCUCGAAAACAUUUUAAUAACACGUUUCGCCACAGGAAUUCGAGGUUGCAUUAUCCAGAGAUGCUGGGAAUUAACGUGUAUCUCGACUACUCGGAAACCUUACUGUCCGUGAAAGCGGAACAAUCCUGGCCAUUUUAACCCAAGUCGCCGGAUAUCAGCCUGACUAAAGUUAACCGAACAAUUUGCAAACAUUCCGCGAAAGCAGUGCUACAUCUUAGCGCUCGCGUCUACAGUCGACGUUCACGCGGAAGGAAAUUUAUCAUCUCCUUCUCUUCCUCUUCUUUAACAGCCUUCUCGUGUUUGACGCACGCUUUCCACAGCUUCAAGCUCAAAUUUCACAGAAUUUUAACCAAAGUCUCUUUUGAUAACCCAACUCCGGAAUACUGUAACGAGGUACUAUAUUCUCUAGUCAGUUUUGUUUCAAUUACUUUUAAUACACGAUUCUCUACAUAAUUUUUAUCAUGACUUUUUAAACCUUUAAACGACCUAUGCUUAUAUUUAUUGUUUCAUUAUAACGACAGAGAAUAUAUUCACAAAGUUUGAUCAUUAAACCUUGAGGUACUCUGUAUAUUUCCCGAACAUGGUGAUAAAGAAAUUUCGUAUAAGAUGCAGUAUCGUAAAGUUAAUAACAAUGCGACAGUAGAAAAAUUCAAAAAUGAAAAAGUAUCGAUAUGAAUCAGUCUUAGCGCGAUUUGGAUCGGCGAAGAUCCUGAUUGCACGGUUGACCGUAUACGCCUGAUCGUCCCUGGAGCGUUUUCCGAAGUGGUUCGAUGCACCUGACAGUGGGGAGUGCGCAUAAGAGGUACGUCAGAGCGUUUAAAGCGGAGCAAUUUGGUACGGGGCCGACGCAGCACAAAACGUCCGACAAUGCUAUCGUCUAACAAGAUUGCAAACGAAAUUGGAUGUUUUUCUCCGGCUGGAUGGAACGGAGAGGAAAAGUAUUAAUUCGGGUCAGACCGGAUCACACGCUUGCGUAAACAUCAGGGAAAGAGGAAAAAACGGAGAGCGCGUGUGUUGCGCGUUUCGGACGCGUGGCGAGCGAAGAUGACAAUUUAAUUGCAUCCCCUGGUGAAAAACGAACGAGCAAAGCUGGCUCUCCCCAGCGCUGGAACUAAUGUUCCCUUUUAAAGCCAGCGCCUCGACAACGGGUUGCUUCGAAAAUUGUUUGCCCUCCAUCCCUGUGUUUCGCCCGGAUUUGAUAAUACGUAAUCCACACGAUUUAUUCCGCGAAAUUGUUCCCCUGAAAAUUCUGUGAAAUUGCGAGUGCGUGGAAAAACUCAGCUGAAAAUUAUCGCCCGGCAAAAGACGUUAAAACGCAUAGGGAAAUUACGAUGUUCAUGUCCCGCCGCCUUCUUACAAUGGAAAAUUUUCUAGAAAAAUUGUAUCGUGUGGAUCAACACACGUGAUUCUUAAUACACCAUGUACCUCUUUUAAUUCGUACUAGUAAUUCUUACAAAUUUCUGCUUCGUUAUCUCGCACGUGUACGAAAUCACGAUCGAUUAAUUCUUUCGAUAGUUUGAACAGAUUGUUACAUUUUAUAUAAAACCAGGAGGUAUCCUAAUGCUUAAUGGAAUGUAUCUGUAAUAAAUGGAUAUGUAC
This is a long non-coding RNA of Bombus pascuorum, 6409 nucleotides long. RefSeq lists it as uncharacterized. The transcript has 3 exons. NCBI's taxonomy places the organism in Eukaryota, Metazoa, Arthropoda, Insecta, Hymenoptera, Apidae. The record is from RefSeq and is a predicted model, not a curated record.